UACGGGGGGGGCAAGCGUUGUUCGGAUUUACUGGGCGUAAAGGGCGGGUAGGCGGCCACCGCAAGUCAGUUGUGAAAUCUCCGGGCUUAACCCGGAAAGGUCAACUGAUACUGCGGGGCUAGAGUGCAGAAGGGGCAACUGGAAUUCUCGGUGUAGCGGUGAAAUGCGUAGAUAUCGAGAGGAACACCUGCGGCGAAGGCGGGUUGCUGGGCUGACACUGACGCUGAACUGCGAAAGCUAGGGGAGCGAACGGG
RNAcentral lists this ribosomal RNA (254 nucleotides) under uncultured bacterium. Its description in RNAcentral is "partial 16S ribosomal RNA". It matches the Rfam family "Bacterial small subunit ribosomal RNA", at positions 524 to 776 of the family's 1533-position model. The record is from RNAcentral.